This 484-nucleotide ribosomal RNA is filed under the name uncultured bacterium. RNAcentral's name for it is "partial 16S ribosomal RNA". It matches the Rfam family "Bacterial small subunit ribosomal RNA", at positions 29 to 507 of the family's 1533-position model. The record is from RNAcentral.
AUUGAACGCUGGCGGCAUGCUUUACACAUGCGAGUCGAACGGCAGCACGGGCUUCGGCCUGGCGGCGAGUGGCGAACGGGUGAGUAAUACAUCGGAACGUGCCCAGUAGUGGGGGAUAGCUCGGCGAAAGCCGGAUUAAUACCGCAUACGACCUGAGGGUGAAAGCGGGGGAUCUUCGGACCUCGCGCUAUUGGAGCGGCCGAUGGCAGAUUAGCUAGUUGGUGGGGUAAAGGCCUACCAAGGCGACGAUCUGUAGCUGGUCUGAGAGGACGACCAGCCACACUGGGACUGAGACACGGCCCAGACUCCUACGGGAGGCAGCAGUGGGGAAUUUUGGACAAUGGGCGAAAGCCUGAUCCAGCAAUGCCGCGUGUGUGAUGAAGGCCUUCGGGUUGUAAAGCACUUUUGGCGGGAACGAAAAGGACUGUGCCAAUACCACGGUUCGAUGACGGUACCCGCAGAAUAAGCACCGGCUAACUACGUG